GCUGGGAUAACUCAGUUAGUAGAGCAUGAGACUUUCAAUCUCAGGGUUGUGGGUUUGAGCCCCACCUCACGCA
Non-coding RNA from Podarcis lilfordi (Lilford's wall lizard), 73 nucleotides. Lineage: Eukaryota; Metazoa; Chordata; Lepidosauria; Squamata; Lacertidae. The record is from the annotation of a GenBank genome assembly.